GAUGAAGAACGUAGCGAAAUGCGAUAAGUAAUGUGAAUUGCAGAAUUCAGUGAAUCAUCGAAUCUUUGAACGCACAUUGCGCCCGCCAGUAUUCUGGCGGGCAUGCCUGUUCGAGCGUCAUUACAACCCUCAGGCCCCCGGGCCUGGCGUUGGGGAUCGGCGGAGCCCCCCGUGGGCACACGCCGUCCCCCAAAUGCAGUGGCGGUCCCGCCGCAGCUUCCAUCGCGUAGUAGAUAACACCUCGCGACUGGAGAGCGGCGCGGCCACGCCGUAAAACACCCAACUCUUCUGAAGUUGACCUCGAAUCAGGUAGGAAUACCCGCUGAACUUAAGCAUAUCAAUAAGCGGAGGA
Molecule: unclassified non-coding RNA, 352 nt
Filed under: soil metagenome
Description: partial contains 5.8S ribosomal RNA, internal transcribed spacer 2, and large subunit ribosomal RNA
Rfam family: 5.8S ribosomal RNA (bases 1-120)
Source: RNAcentral